UACGGAGGAUCCAAGCGUUAUCCGGAUUUAUUGGGUUUAAAGGGUGCGUAGGUGGUUUUUUAAGUCAGGGGUGAAAGACGGCAGCUUAACUGUCGCAGUGCCUUUGAUACUGAAGAACUUGAAUACACUAGAGGUAGGCGGAAUGUGACAAGUAGCGGUGAAAUGCAUAGAUAUGUCACAGAACACCGAUUGCGAAGGCAGCUUACUAUGGUGUCAUUGACACUGAGGCACGAAAGCGUGGGGAUCAAACAGG
RNAcentral lists this ribosomal RNA (253 nucleotides) under uncultured bacterium. Its description in RNAcentral is "partial 16S ribosomal RNA". It matches the Rfam family "Bacterial small subunit ribosomal RNA", at positions 524 to 776 of the family's 1533-position model. The record is from RNAcentral.